Molecule: long non-coding RNA, 2712 nt
Filed under: Gadus morhua (Atlantic cod)
Lineage: Eukaryota; Metazoa; Chordata; Actinopteri; Gadiformes; Gadidae
Description: lncRNA (ENSGMOG00000025097.1)
Source: RNAcentral
GACCUCAGUCCAGAAGGUCUCCUCUAUGUCCUCAGUCCAGAAGGUCUCCUCUAUGUCCUCAGUCCAGAAGGUCUCCUCUAUGUCCUCAGUCAGAAGGUCUCCUCUAUGUCCUCAGUCCAGAAGGUCUCCUCUGUCCUCAGUCCAGAAGGUCUCCUCUAUGUCCUCAGUCCAGAAGGUCUCAUCUAUGUCCUCAGUCCAGAAGGUCUCCUCUAUGUCCUCAGUCAGAAGGUCUCCUCUCCUCGGUCCAGAAGGUCUCCUCUAUGUCCUCAGUCCAGAAGGUCUCCUCUAUGUCCUCAGUCCAGAAGGUCUCCUCUAUGUCCUCAGUCAGAAGGUCUCCUCUGUCCUCAGUCAGAAGGUCUCCUCUGUCCUCCGUCCAGAAGGUCUCCUCUGUCCUCAGUCAGAAGGUCUCCUCUAUGUCCUCAGUCCAGAAGGUCUCCUCUAUGUCCUCAGUCAGAAGGUCUCCUCUGUCCUCAGUCAGAAGGUCUCCUCUAUGUCCUCAGUCAGAAGGUCUCCUCUCAGUCCCCAGUCCAGAGACGGGCUCGACGCUAAGCGCAGCGUAAGCUACGUUUAGCUUGGGGAUUAGCCGCGGCGGCCGGGGGAACCGGCCCGUACCGGAACCCGGCGGCUGGGAGAACCUCCGACCCAGAGACAGCGGGCGGAGUGUCAGAACACGGCUGGUUGUGACUUCCCGAUUUGAGGCCCGUCUUGAUUGGCCGCCCGACUGUUGACCCAGCAUGCCGAGCGGUGAUGCUGGCGGCCGUAGCCUUGGCGUUCCUCGGCUAUCUCACAGUAAACACACGCUGUUUGGGAACGCCUCCCUCCGUACCCGAGCACAGGCCUGGGAAGAGUUGAACUCAGGACAUUAUACACACACUCACACACACACGUACACACACACACUCACACUCACUCACACUCACACCCACCCACACACACACACACACACACACACACACACACACACACACACACACAUACACACACCUCCCUCUAGCCUCUCUUUCUUGUCACUAUUUUGAAGUUUGUGUCUCCUCUCUCUCUCUCUCUCUCUCUCUCUCUCUCUCUCUCUCUCUCUCUCUCUCUCUCUCUCUCUCUCUCUCUCUCUCUCUCUUUCUCUGUCUCUCUCUCUCUCUCUGUCUCUCUCUCUCUCUCUCUUCUCUCUCUCUCUCUCUCUAUCUGUCUCUCUCUCUCUCUCUCUAUCUGUCUCUCUCUCUCUCUCUCUCUCUCUCUGUCUCUCUCUCUCUCUCUGUCUCUCUCUCUCUCUCUCUCUCUCUCUCUCUCUCUCUCUCUCUCUCUCUCUCUCUCUCUCUCUCUCUCUCUCUCUCUCUCUCUCUCUCAUGUUGAUUGUUGCAGUUCCUCCAGGAGUGUCGGUAGUUUGAUAAAGGUGCGGUCUGGCCACCUCUCCUUGAUAACGACCUUGAUAACAACUCUGUCCCGCCCCCAACUGGGAGGGGCUCAGAUUCCAUGAAGUGGGAAUAGAGUGGCGAAGUCCCGCCCCUUCCGGUAGAGCCAUUUGGACCUCUGAGAUAGUAAAAUAUGAAUGGGUUUCAAUGGAGAGAAAUUAAUUAUUUUCUGGUCCCAGUCUUUAUAUGCCCUGGAUUACACAUAUGUCGUUUGUGGAUUUAAAUGAUAAGUUUUCAUGCAAAGGAAACUAAAAAAUUUCACGAAGAAGUUUGAUAGUGUUAGGUUUUGUGUGAGGCCGCUUUGUGAACUACAGCUCGUCGCAGCUCUCAACGAGAAUGAUAUACGUCACCACCACUCUGGUACAGGCAUGGUGAUCUCUCUGCUCCACUUCACCAGUUUUUUCCAAGGGGAUGAUAAAAGCAUCAAAAUAGGUGAAAAAUAUUAUAAGUUGGGGCAUGUUGAGAGUUUCCGUUAUGCCGAUGGGGAGAUUGUCGGUCUUGUCCACGCCAGUCGCAGGGAGCGUGACGUCACGUACGAGACAUGUAGUCUUUCUCAUUGGGUUUUCUCUACAGCCUUUAACUGAACAAUUGCACAAUAAACGGUCAAACUCUUGCCGUGAAAAAUGUAAAGUGCUUUACAGGAACAAACAUGAUUCAAAUGACUCAACGUUGUUACACAACUGAGGACAACUCUUCUGACCUCUCACUGAUGUCAGUCCUGAGUCAGACGGCCCCGCCCGCCUUCUCUGAUACCGCAAGGUGACCACCCCCCGCUGGCUAAGCCCCUCCUUCUCACCUGUCACCUUCUGGCAGUGGGCCGGCCACACCCUCGUCCAGACGCUAGAUAAGAGCUGGGCGUGAGUCACGUUGCUCAGACUGAUGACGUGUGCCCUCUUACAGAGGGGAGAACGGGUCCAUCAUGUAGAGCUGCAGCACACAGAACUUGAUCUAGAUCUAGAAGACCUAGUUCCUCAACCCCAGGGCAAAAACAACCAUCAACUGCCAUCAGGCGGUACUCAGAGAUAAUGGAUUUAAAUACCACAAAGGAUAAGUAGAAAAUAAUACAAAGAUCAAGAAUAAAUAAAAUAGAAGACAAAAUAAACACGAUGAAAUGAACCAUAGAGAGCCUGGAGCCUGAAGCCUGAAGCCGGCCUGACUGGGUUUCAGACGGUUGAAUCCAUUCCGUCCUUAGAUGGAGAGAUAUGAGACCCACCAACAGGGAGUGUAAACAGAACCACGGGCUUGUAGGGUUACCAGGACUGCAGGACGAGUCCUCUCUCUGUUCAGAGAGAGAGAGUACUCCUCUCUC